Molecule: ribosomal RNA, 496 nt
Filed under: uncultured bacterium
Lineage: Bacteria
Description: partial 16S ribosomal RNA
Rfam family: Bacterial small subunit ribosomal RNA
Source: RNAcentral
GAUGAACGCUGGCGGCGUGCCUAAUACAUGCAAGUCGAGCGAACAGACGAGGAGCUUGCUCCUCUGACGUUAGCGGCGGACGGGUGAGUAACACGUGGAUAACCUACCUAUAAGACUGGGAUAACUUCGGGAAACCGGAGCUAAUACCGGAUAAUAUAUUGAACCGCAUGGUUCAAUAGUGAAAGACGGUUUUGCUGUCACUUAUAGAUGGAUCCGCGCCGCAUUAGCUAGUUGGUAAGGUAACGGCUUACCAAGGCAACGAUGCGUAGCCGACCUGAGAGGGGGACGGCCACCCCGGGAAAUAAGAACGGUCCCAAACCCCGAGGGGAGGCAGGGGGAGGAAACUUUCCGCAAGGGGCGAAAGCCUGACGGGCAAACGCGGCGGGAGUGAUAAAGUGUUUGGGUCCGUAAAACCUUUUUUUUGGGGAAAAAAAAAUGUGGAAGUAACUUGCCCAGUUUGGACGGAACCUAAGAAGAAACCCCCGGCUAACUAGGG